CUGGCGGAUUUGAUGCCACGGC
RNAcentral lists this microRNA (22 nucleotides) under Euprymna scolopes. RNAcentral's name for it is "Esc-Mir-12507_3p (mature (guide))". The record is from RNAcentral. RNAcentral also lists the same sequence under 2 other names. Lineage: Eukaryota; Metazoa; Mollusca; Cephalopoda; Sepiida; Sepiolidae.